GGGGGAAUGGGGGCACAUACAGAACAUGAAUUCCUAAGGAGUGGUGUUACUGUAAUGAUUAAAAUAUAUACAAAAUACAGGUUAAGAAACAGCUCACACUAAAAUAACAGAGUUUAAAACUUACAUGGCUACUUAAAUUUGCCUAUCUUAUCAGACAAAUAUGGGGAUUUGGUUACACCAUAUGGCCAUAUUGUGUGAAGCCCACCAAUUUGUCACAGUACCCGAAUCACAAUAGGUCC
Pelobates cultripes (western spadefoot toad) is the source of this 239-nucleotide non-coding RNA. The record is from the annotation of a GenBank genome assembly. Lineage: Eukaryota; Metazoa; Chordata; Amphibia; Anura; Pelobatidae.